CCUACAUGUUAAUACAUAAAGUAUCUAGAAAAUCAAAUGAAAAAUCAUAUGUUAAAUAGGACAAAAUAAAUUUUUCUUAUCUGCAACCACAUGAGCAGGGUCGGUCCUGACAUUUUUUAGACCUAGGGCUAAAUAAAAAAAUGGGACAUUCUCUAUUAAAAAUUAACAUACUUUAAAUAUUAAUUAUCAUUAAAAAAUUAAUCUACGUGCAAUAAUUUUCUAUAGAUAUAUUCGUUAAGCAGUGUAUAAAAUCUAUCAUUAACUUAUUUAAUUAUUUUUCUUGUUAUAAUAUUGUAGAAAGUCAUCUUUGCAUCCUAUUGGAACAUCAAUACAAGAUCUAGGCCUGGGGCGGUCGCCCAAUUUGACCUGCCCCAGGACCGGCCCUGCACAUGAGCUUCUUUGCGGUCAGAAAAUAAAGAUAAUCUCAAGCUAUAAAGCAUAUAGCUGAAAGAUUAGAAAUUUGUUCCAAAAGUAAGAACAAAAUCUUUUUAUGCAAUGCUAGCAUUAUCCUUUUAGGUAAUUAUCUAGAAGCGAAGGAAGCAAAUAGAUUCUGAAGAGUGAAUAA
Molecule: long non-coding RNA, 565 nt
Filed under: Elaeis guineensis (African oil palm)
Lineage: Eukaryota; Viridiplantae; Streptophyta; Magnoliopsida; Arecales; Arecaceae
Description: long non-coding RNA (EGUI_LNC072771)
Source: RNAcentral